RNAcentral lists this ribosomal RNA (483 nucleotides) under uncultured bacterium. RNAcentral describes it as "partial 16S ribosomal RNA". It matches the Rfam family "Bacterial small subunit ribosomal RNA", at positions 28 to 523 of the family's 1533-position model. The record is from RNAcentral.
GACGAACGCUGGCGGCGUGCUUAACACAUGCAAGUCGAACGAUGAAGCUGGAGCUUGCUCCGGUGGAUUAGUGGCGAACGGGUGAGUAACACGUGAGCAAUCUGCCCUUCACUCUGGGAUAACUGCGGGAAACUGUAGCUAAUACCGGAUACGAGACCUUGGGGCAUCCCAGGGUCUGGAAAGAAUUUCGGUGAAGGAUGAGCUCGCGGCCUAUCAGCUAGUUGGUGAGGUAAUGGCUCACCAAGGCGACGACGGGUAGCCGGCCUGAGAGGGUGACCGGCCACACUGGGACUGAGACACGGCCCAGACUCCUACGGGAGGCAGCAGUGGGGAAUAUUGCACAAUGGGCGCAAGCCUGAUGCAGCAACGCCGCGUGAGGGAUGACGGCCUUCGGGUUGUAAACCUCUUUUAGUAGGGAAGAAGCGAAAGUGACGGUACCUGCAGAAAAAGCACCGGCUAACUACGUGCCAGCCGCCGCCGUAA